This is a long non-coding RNA of Tympanuchus pallidicinctus (lesser prairie-chicken), 1002 nucleotides long. RefSeq lists it as uncharacterized. The transcript has 2 exons. Lineage: Eukaryota; Metazoa; Chordata; Aves; Galliformes; Phasianidae. The record is from RefSeq and is a predicted model, not a curated record.
UGCCCGACGCGCAGCGCGCCGAAGUCCAGAGUCUUGCUCUCGAAGGCGCCCUCGACGCUGCAGAAAAGGCCGCCGCGCUUCUGCCGGGGUACGGCCGCCGUGCCCGGCCGCGCCAGUGGCCAGGAGAUACAGAUCAAGGAGGGGAUUCCAUGACAAGGCUGCCGUCCCGCCCGGCGCAGGAGGAUGCAGAUGGCAGCAUCUGAACGCCUGUCCUUGGGGGCUGCCACAGGACCUGCCAGAACCACAUCAGCCCCACAGCGCAUCUCUCUGGUUUCAUGACUGCAUUCAUUUCCUGACAUAGAACAAGAUUCCCAGGAGUCUGACUGAGCCUUCCUGAUGGUUGUUGAUGAUCAUAUCUUGAAAUAAAAGAAAUAGGAUAAUCUGAUUUGGGGAACAGCAUGUAUUUUAUGGGGAAUUAUGUUUUGUGCUCAAACUUCUAAAUUUAUGUUCAAUUACACUGUCCCUUUCUAGCUGAAGAUGAACUGUUUCUGUUAAGCAGCACUCAGAAAUGGAGAUGAGUCACAGCACAGGGUGAACCAUACUAGUUAUGAAUGGGGGAGCAGUGCAGCCUUCUUGGAAACGUCCUUUAGCCAAAUCCCUCUCCAGAAGGAUUAGUUAAUGCGAUGGGACAUAAUCGCCCUGUCUGGGGUGUGCCUUGUACACCCUGCCUCCUUAUAGAUUUCCUUUGUUGUUACUCAUGUGCUGCAAGAGCACCAGCUGGGUUUCCUGCUAGCACCUGGGCAGGGGAUCACAGGCUUCUGCCCAACAACUGCCCAAUCGCUGAACAGCCAGGGAGAGGCACCACACGUGAUGCAACUUUCACCAGCAUUUUCUCAGUGAGGCUGCCCAUAUAGCAAGAGUUACCUGCUAAGUGUUUAAAAGGGAGUUUAAAUUGUCCACUGAAUCAUUUGAACACCUGAUUCCUGGUUUCCAGAUGCACUACAUGAUGUGAUUCUGUGUGUAGCAAAACCAGAAAGGAAUUAAAAAGAAGUGAGGAAUGUC